This 275-nucleotide ribosomal RNA is filed under the name uncultured prokaryote. RNAcentral describes it as "partial 16S ribosomal RNA". It matches the Rfam family "Bacterial small subunit ribosomal RNA", at positions 524 to 798 of the family's 1533-position model. The record is from RNAcentral.
UACGGAGGAUCCGAGCGUUAUCCGGAUUUAUUGGGUUUAAAGGGUGCACAGGCGGAAUAUUAAGUCGGCGGUGAAAGUUUGCAGCUUAACUGUAAAAUUGCCGUUGAUACUGGUAUUCUUGAGUGUAUAUGAAGUAGGCGGAAUUUGUAGUGUAGCGGUGAAAUGCAUAGAUAUUACAAGGAACUCCGAUUGCGAAGGCAGCUUACUAAAUUACAACUGACGCUUAGGCACGAAGGCGUGGGUAUCAAACAGGAUUAGAUACCCUGGUAGUCCCU